Molecule: ribosomal RNA, 253 nt
Filed under: uncultured bacterium
Lineage: Bacteria
Description: partial 16S ribosomal RNA
Rfam family: Bacterial small subunit ribosomal RNA
Source: RNAcentral
UACAGAGGGUGCGAGCGUUACUCGGAAUUACUGGGCGUAAAGCGUGCGUAGACGGUUUCGUAAGUCGGGUGUGAAAGCCCCGGGCUCAACCUGGGAAUUGCAUUCGAGACUGCGUAGCUAGGGUGCGGAAGAGGGAAGCGGAAUUUCCGGUGUAGCGGUGAAAUGCGUAGAUAUCGGAAGGAACAUCAGUGGCGAAAGCGGCUUCCUGGUCCAGCACCGACGUUCAGGCACGAAAGCGUGGGGAGCAAACAGG